This 2907-nucleotide ribosomal RNA is filed under the name Pectobacterium carotovorum subsp. carotovorum. RNAcentral describes it as "23S ribosomal RNA". It matches the Rfam family "Bacterial large subunit ribosomal RNA". The record is from RNAcentral. Lineage: Bacteria; Pseudomonadati; Pseudomonadota; Gammaproteobacteria; Enterobacterales; Pectobacteriaceae.
UUAAGCGACUAAGCGUACACGGUGGAUGCCUAGGCAGUCAGAGGCGAUGAAGGGCGUGCUAAUCUGCGAUAAGCGUCGGUAAGCUGAUAUGAAGCGUUAUACCCGACGAUACCCGAAUGGGGAAACCCAGUGUGUUUCGACACACUAUCAUUACGUGAAUACAUAGCGUAAUGAGGCGAACCGGGGGAACUGAAACAUCUCAGUACCCCGAGGAAAAGAAAUCAACCGAGAUUCCCCUAGUAGCGGCGAGCGAACGGGGAGGAGCCCAGAACCUGAAUCAGUUUGUGUGUUAGUGGAAGCGUCUGGAAAGUCGCACAGUAAAGGGUGAUAGUCCCGUACACAAAAAUGCACAAAUUGUGAGUUCGAUGAGUAGGGCGGGACACGUGACAUCCUGUCUGAAUAUGGGGGGACCAUCCUCCAAGGCUAAAUACUCCUGACUGACCGAUAGUGAACCAGUACCGUGAGGGAAAGGCGAAAAGAACCCCGGCGAGGGGAGUGAAAUAGAACCUGAAACCGUGUACGUACAAGCAGUGGGAGCCUUGAUUAAUCAGGGUGACUGCGUACCUUUUGUAUAAUGGGUCAGCGACUUAUAUUCUGUAGCAAGGUUAACCGUAUAGGGGAGCCGUAGGGAAACCGAGUCUUAACUGGGCGUUAAGUUGCAGGGUAUAGACCCGAAACCCGGUGAUCUAGCCAUGGGCAGGUUGAAGGUUGGGUAACACUAACUGGAGGACCGAACCGACUAAUGUUGAAAAAUUAGCGGAUGACUUGUGGCUGGGGGUGAAAGGCCAAUCAAACCGGGAGAUAGCUGGUUCUCCCCGAAAGCUAUUUAGGUAGCGCCUCGUGAAUUCAUCUUCGGGGGUAGAGCACUGUUUCGGCUAGGGGGUCAUCCCGACUUACCAACCCGAUGCAAACUACGAAUACCGAAGAAUGUUAUCACGGGAGACACACGGCGGGUGCUAACGUUCGUCGUGAAGAGGGAAACAACCCAGACCGCCAGCUAAGGUCCCAAAGUCAUGGUUAAGUGGGAAACGAUGUGGGAAGGCACAGACAGCCAGGAUGUUGGCUUAGAAGCAGCCAUCAUUUAAAGAAAGCGUAAUAGCUCACUGGUCGAGUCGGCCUGCGCGGAAGAUGUAACGGGGCUAAACCAUGCACCGAAGCUGCGGCAGCGACACUUAGGUGUUGUUGGGUAGGGGAGCGUUCUGUAAGCCGUCGAAGGUGGCCUGUGAGGGUUGCUGGAGGUAUCAGAAGUGCGAAUGCUGACAUAAGUAACGAUAAUGCGGGUGAAAAACCCGCACGCCGGAAGACCAAGGGUUCCUGUCCAACGUUAAUCGGGGCAGGGUGAGUCGACCCCUAAGGCGAGGCUGAAAAGCGUAGUCGAUGGGAAACAGGUUAAUAUUCCUGUACUCGGUGUUACUGCGAAGGGGGGACGGAGAAAGCUAGGUUAUCCGGGCGACGGUUGUCCCGGUUUAAGCGUGAAGGUGGAUGACUUUGGUAAAUCCGGGUCGUCAUUAACACUGAGGCGUGAUGACGAGUCACUACGGUGAUGAAGUAACCAAUGCUACGCUUCCAGGAAAAGCCUCUAAGCUCCAGGUAACAUCAAAUCGUACCCCAAACCGACACAGGUGGUCAGGUAGAGAAUACUCAGGCGCUUGAGAGAACUCGGGUGAAGGAACUAGGCAAAAUGGUGCCGUAACUUCGGGAGAAGGCACGCUGAUGGUAGGUGAAGUGACUUGCUCACGGAGCUGAAAUCAGUCGAAGAUACCAGCUGGCUGCAACUGUUUAAUAAAAACACAGCACUGUGCAAACACGAAAGUGGACGUAUACGGUGUGACGCCUGCCCGGUGCCGGAAGGUUAAUUGAUGGGGUCAGCCGCAAGGCGAAGCUCUUGAUCGAAGCCCCGGUAAACGGCGGCCGUAACUAUAACGGUCCUAAGGUAGCGAAAUUCCUUGUCGGGUAAGUUCCGACCUGCACGAAUGGCGUAAUGAUGGCCAGGCUGUCUCCACCCGAGACUCAGUGAAAUUGAACUCGCUGUGAAGAUGCAGUGUACCCGCGGCAAGACGGAAAGACCCCGUGAACCUUUACUAUAGCUUGACACUGAACCUUGAGCCUUGAUGUGUAGGAUAGGUGGGAGGCUUUGAAGCGUGGACGCCAGUCUGCGUGGAGCCAACCUUGAAAUACCACCCUUUAAUGUUUGAUGUUCUAACGUGGGCCCGUGAUCCGGGUUGCGGACAGUGUCUGGUGGGUAGUUUGACUGGGGCGGUCUCCUCCCAAAGCGUAACGGAGGAGCACGAAGGUUAGCUAAUCCUGGUCGGACAUCAGGAGGUUAGUGCAAAGGCAUAAGCUAGCUUGACUGCGAGAGUGACAGCUCGAGCAGGUGCGAAAGCAGGUCUUAGUGAUCCGGUGGUUCUGAAUGGAAGGGCCAUCGCUCAACGGAUAAAAGGUACUCCGGGGAUAACAGGCUGAUACCGCCCAAGAGUUCAUAUCGACGGCGGUGUUUGGCACCUCGAUGUCGGCUCAUCACAUCCUGGGGCUGAAGUAGGUCCCAAGGGUAUGGCUGUUCGCCAUUUAAAGUGGUACGCGAGCUGGGUUUAGAACGUCGUGAGACAGUUCGGUCCCUAUCUGCCGUGGGCGUUGGAAGAUUGAGAGGGGUUGCUCCUAGUACGAGAGGACCGGAGUGAACGCACCACUGGUGUUCGGGUUGUGAUGCCAAUUGCAUUGCCCGGUAGCUAAGUGCGGAAGAGAUAACCGCUGAAAGCAUCUAAGCGGGAAACUUGCCUCGAGAUGAGUCUUCCCUGGGUACUUGAUACCCCUGAAGGGCCGUUGAAGACUACGACGUAGAUAGGCUGGGUGUGUAAGCGUAGCGAUACGUUGAGCUAACCAGUACUAAUGACCCGAGAGGCUUAACCU